RNAcentral lists this long non-coding RNA (1095 nucleotides) under Panax ginseng (ginseng). RNAcentral's name for it is "long non-coding RNA (PGIN_LNC015638)". Lineage: Eukaryota; Viridiplantae; Streptophyta; Magnoliopsida; Apiales; Araliaceae. The record is from RNAcentral.
UUUUUCAGCUUCCACAUAUAGCUGCAAGCCCUUCUUUUGCAUCAGUUUCAACAUAUUCAAAAACUAAAUGGAAAUGGGCUGUUUUAGGUAACUGACGAUCCACGAAAUUGAUAGCUGCUGCACUGGUACGGAUCGUGAGGCUGAAGACACCGACGAUCUCGCUCCCUAACGGUGGUAUUCUAGAUCAUUCCUGAAAUCCCCAAUCUCUCUUAAUGAAACCCUAAAUUAAACAUAAUCGAAGAAGUCGAAUAUAGUAAUUGAUUUUCAGAAAUUGGGGGAAGGGAUAGAGAGAAGAGAUCAACCACUGCUUCGCAAUUGCUCCUCCGGUGACGUCGUUUCCCUAAUUCGUCGAUGAUUUCGGUACCGUUCGAAACCUCUUCAAACACCUUCAAUUCAUCGAGUGGCCACUCGAACUCAUCAUGAAACUCCUGAGGAUGUGUAUUCUUUACACAAAGAAAGCAUAACAAGGAUCCCAAGAGAAAUCAAAACCAAAACUAAAAAAAAAAAAAAAUCGGAUUUCAAUACAUAUAGAAGAAGAAGAUCAAAACAAAAAAACAUAAGAGAAAUUAGCCUCAUCCUUCCAUGGAUUCCACCCAAGAAACGCUCCUAUUUACCUUUUUCCUCCCCUCAAACCGACGAAUAAUUAACCAUUGCUUUUUCGCCAAAAAUGGAAGACUCGAAUACUACUCACCAUCGCAAAACAGGAUUGGGGAUUGACUCAUGUUUGGGCAUUUUGAGCUUGACGUUAGUCAUGAAAUCGAUCGACUUAAGCUUCUGAUCAUUAGGAUGAGCCAGCUUGUGAUUAUUCGCGUGAAAUCGAUCAGGAUGAGUCAAUCAUGAAAUCGGUCGACUUAAACUUGUGAAUUUGGGUUAUAUUCAUCAGAUCACAUUAAUAUUUUUUGUUUUAAUUAUUUGUCAUGUCAAUAAAUAUUCUUACCACGUGUCAGUCAUGUCAUAAAUAAACUAACAUCCGUUUGUCUAACUGUCAUUUUUUUAACGGGAGGGGCAUAUUUGAGCUAUAUUUUAUAAUGUUAGAUGUACUUUUGAAAAAAAAAUUAGUUUAGGAUGAAAAUGGGACAUUCGUGUAAACAUUAG